Neogale vison (American mink) is the source of this 703-nucleotide long non-coding RNA. RefSeq lists it as uncharacterized. Lineage: Eukaryota; Metazoa; Chordata; Mammalia; Carnivora; Mustelidae. The transcript is spliced from 3 exons. The record is from RefSeq and is a predicted model, not a curated record.
AUGGGGGAAAAAAACAGGUUACCUUUCAGGAAUGAAAAGUAGAAUGGUUUUUGACUUCUCACUAGCAACACUGGAUGCUGGAAGACAAUGGAAGAAUAUCUUCAAAGUUCUGAGGGAAAAUAAUUUUGAUCAUUGAGUUCUAUACCCAGCCAAACCACUAGUUUUCUUUCCCUCUGAUGGAGUGGAGGUUGAGGAGAACGUUGGGAUUCAAAACCAAGAAUCGCUGUGGCCUGAGCUAUCUAAGGAUAAAUUGAGUGAUUGGGAUAACUAGUUUUGAUGGGCAAGGAAUGGAGGUGACAGCGAGUAUCUCAACGACACACCCCAAAACAGGAAAAGCCUGCUUUUUAGACUCUCUGUCCUUUGUAUUCCUCUGAACAGCGUUAAAUGUUCUGCUUGCUAGACGCCCGAUUUUGGUACAGUACUUGGGAAAAGGAAAUUAUUGCUACUAUUACACACCAACAUACCCUGUCCCGUUAAUCGAAAUAAAGUGAUAAAGAGGCCAAGAAGCUGUGGUAUAUGCCCGUGGUCCUCAGACCAUUUUAGCUCACUUAUCUGUACCAUGAGCAAUACGGAGAUGUGUGGGACUAGAAGGUCACAGAGGAAUUUUAAAGCUGAAAUACAAAACAUUAUUCCCCAAAACAUCUUCCAAGGCCAGACGGGGAAAACGCUUACGGUUUGUUUUCAUUUGUUCUUUCCUUUCCUU